RNAcentral lists this long non-coding RNA (2469 nucleotides) under Bactrocera tryoni. RNAcentral's name for it is "uncharacterized LOC120775084". Lineage: Eukaryota; Metazoa; Arthropoda; Insecta; Diptera; Tephritidae. The record is from RNAcentral.
ACAACAUAACACAGAGCAAUAUUUGUUUGUUUACUUUUGCAUUUGCGGGAAUGCAGUUAGAGAGUCGCUCUUUAAUCGCAUGGCAUUGUACAUUUUCGCACACUCAUAGCAGUGCAGUCAGCAGCGAUGAGAAAAAAACAUGAAAAUACAUGCGUGGUUUCUGUGCGAGUGAUCAUGUGGUGUUAACGAAAAUUUAGAAAAGUGUAGAAAAUAAGUGCUAAAUCAAAUAAUUAUUGGUGAAAUUUCAUUUAUGUAUAAGUAAGUAAAGUGAAAUAAAGGAAAAAUAUAUCCAAUAUUGUAAGUGCCGUGAGUUAAGCUCAAUGCAAGUGAAGAAAAGUGUAUUAUGAUGCAAAGGUGUCUUGCUUUAAGGCGAAGCAAUAAAAAUGUUCAAAAGUGUUUCAGUUUUAUAAAAGUUAGUUGUUUAAUAAAAAUAUAUGCCUUUGUGUAGGCAUAAUCAAAAAAGUGUUCAGUGAAGUGUUAAAAAAGUGAUGAAAAUGUGUUUAAAUAAAAUUUAUACUCGUGUUUUAUAAUCAUGUCGUUCGUAAAUGAUAUUCGCGGCGCGUCGGUUGAGUGCGGGAAUCUCUUUACAACAAAAAUUAAAAAGCAGUUCGCUGUUUGGUUAAAUGAAACAACACAAAGUAGCGAUUAAUAUUCAUAACGAAUAUCCACAUUCUUGAUUUUCAAGUACUUACGACCACAUAAAACGGUCCGAACUUUGCGGUCUCAUUAAACCAAUCCAAACAAUGUCAUUCACAUCAAGCUCACGGAGUAGAUCUCUGGUUGCAUCAAAUUGGAAGCUGUUGUCGACUUAUACUUGCUUCCUACACGCAUCAUAUACAGUGAUCAUAACGCUUAAAUUUAACGAAACAAAAAAGUGUGUUGUGAAUGGACUUAACCUCACCUAAUAACAAAACUAAGUUCAAAUAUAUAUAUACUUAUAUAUGUGAAUAUGAGUUUAUAAUGCACCGCUAAGCAAACUCAAUGAAGCUAAGAAAGCAAACAAUUUGAUUUAUGACUGCACAUAUUACUCAUACGCACCGCCUCCUCACACAGCAGCCGCAUUUAAAGAAGCGAAAAUAUAUGAAAUCUGUUUUCGACGACUGUCACACAUAAACUACACACAACGCAGAUUCAAUAAGCAGAGAAGAAGUCAACAGUGAAAAACCACAAUGUCUGAAAACCGCAAGAACCACAACAAUUGCAACAACAACUGCAACGGCCACCAGCAAUUGAAUGCCAAAUAGUAACCAACGGUUAUUUUCAACUGCUUUUGCAAAAUUUAUUAUGUUUACACAAGGGCGCCCAACUUGUCCUUGCAACAUUCUGUUGUCUGUUGGUCACAAAAAUGCACAACACGUUGCCAACGUGAUCAGCAACUGAAAUGUGCUAUAGCGUGCAGUCAAGCAGUGAGGCAAUGACAACAAUAAUAAAAGUAGUGAGUUCGCUAUGUUCUUGUACGUUCCGUCUUGGUCGGUUGGUUGGUUGGCUGAUCGUUGAGAUUAUGUUGACACUGUACUGGCAGCAACUGUCAACUUUAAUUAUCGUCGCUUUUCAAUUUCAUCAGCAACAUAAACAGCUACGGUAACAAGUCGCAAGCAACAAUGGUAGCAAAAUGUCUAGCCUGAAGUUAAAGACAAACAAAAAGCGCUCGCAACUCAUUAUGUGACCUAUAGCCCGCUGUUCGGUGUAGCUUUCUGCGGUCUCUUCCUGUAUUACUUGAAAGUUGCCAUUAAUUAGCGUUCAAUUAAGUUCGUCACUGCCCACGUGGCUUUAAAACAUUUCCGCAAUGAUAGAUAAUAUCUAUAAGACGACCACAGUGAAAUAUAGCUACCUCAAAUGCUACUACACACAACAGAAUUGCUUUUUGUUUGCUUUUGCAUUUGCGGUAUUGCAGUUACAAAGUCGCUCUUUCUCUCAGAGCUCUGCGCUCAGUUCCACAACAAAUAAAAAUAUUAAAUUUCACGUGUGAAUUCUGUGCAAGUGAUCGCGUGUGGUUAGUGAAAAUUUGGAAAAAUAUACGAAAUAAGUAAAAAAUAAGUGCUUUGAUCAAAUAAUUAUUGCUGAAAAUUUGUUUAAGUGCUAAUGUAAAAAGAAAAAUAAGUGUAUAUAAUAAUGUGAGUGGUGUGAGUUAAGUGGAAUAUAUGUAUGUAAGUGUAGCCAAUUUUAAUAUUAGUGAAAUAUAUAAAAAUAUGUAAUUGAAAAGCGUGUCGGUUUUAUAAAGCUAAUGGUGUAUAUGAUAGAAAUAAGCAUUUUGUGGCAAUAUAAGCGAUUCAAUCUAGUGCGAUGUCAAGGUUAUAGAAAAUGAGAUUUAAUAAAAUGAAUACCGGUGUUUCAAAUAUUCCCCUCACAUGUGCCUUCGUUUAGUGCACGAUCCUUUUCUACCAAAAAAUAUAAAAGGAGUUGUUGACUAAAGUAGUUAACAACACAGCGCAGCGUCAAAUUUCGAAAAUGAAUGAAAUCUUGCUUAUU